Molecule: ribosomal RNA, 464 nt
Filed under: uncultured bacterium
Lineage: Bacteria
Description: partial 16S ribosomal RNA
Rfam family: Bacterial small subunit ribosomal RNA
Source: RNAcentral
CCUACGGGAGGCUGCAGUAGGGACUUUUCGGCAAUGGGGGGAACCCUGACCGAGCACCGCCGCGUGAAGGAAGAAGGAAUUCGUUCUGUAUACUUCUGUUUUAAAGGACUAAAGACGGAUGGAGGAAAUGACAUCCGAGUGACGGUACUUUAUGAGAAAUCCACGGCUAACUCCGUGCCAGCAGACGCGGUAAUACGUAGUUGGCAAGCGUUAUCCGUAAUUAUUUGGCGAAAAGAGGGAGAAGGCGGCAGCAAAGGUCUGUGGUGAAAGACUGAAGCUUAACUUCAGGAAGCCAUAGAAACCGGGCAGCUAGAGUGCAGGAGAGGAUCGUGGAAUUCCAUGUGUAGCGGUGAAAUGCGUAGAUAGAUGGAGGAACACCAGUGGCGAAGGCGACGAUCUGGCCUGCAACUGACGCUCAGUCCCGAAAGCGUGGGGAGCAAAUAGGAUUAGAUACCCGAGGAGUC